GACGAACGCUGGCGGCGUGCUUAACACAUGCAAGUCGAACGGAACGGCCCUGCUGUUGUGGGGUGCUCGAGUAGCGAACGGGUGUGUAACACGUGAGUAACCUUCCCUUGACUUUGGGAUAACUUCUGGAAACUGGGGCUAAUACCGGAUAGCAGCUACUGCUGCAUGGUGGGGGAUGGAAAGUUUCGGCGGUUGGGGAUGGACUCGCGGCAUAUCAGCUUGUUGGUGGGGUAGUGGCUUACCAAGGCUUAGACGGGUAGCCGGCCUGAGAGGGUGACCGGCCACAUUGGGACUGAGAUGCGGCCCAGACUCCUACGGGAGGCAGGAGUGGAGAAUAUUGCACAACGGGCGGAAGCCUGAUGCAGCAACGCCGCGUGCGGGAAGACGGGCUUCGUGUUGGAAACCGCUUUCGCCUGUGACGAAGCGUGAGUGACGGUAAUGGGUAAAGAAGCACCGGCUAACUACGUG
This 468-nucleotide ribosomal RNA is filed under the name uncultured bacterium. RNAcentral describes it as "partial 16S ribosomal RNA". It matches the Rfam family "Bacterial small subunit ribosomal RNA", at positions 28 to 507 of the family's 1533-position model. The record is from RNAcentral.